RNAcentral lists this ribosomal RNA (490 nucleotides) under uncultured bacterium. Its description in RNAcentral is "partial 16S ribosomal RNA". It matches the Rfam family "Bacterial small subunit ribosomal RNA", at positions 30 to 507 of the family's 1533-position model. The record is from RNAcentral.
AUUGAACGCUGGCGGCAGGCCUAACACAUGCAAGUCGAACGGUAACAGGAUGAAGCUUGCUUCUUUGCUGACGAGUGGCGGACGGGCGAGUAAUGUCUGGGAAACUGCCCGAUGGAGGGGGAUAACUACUGGAAACGGUAGCUAAUCUAGCAUAACGUCGCAUGACCAAAGAGCGGGUGCUUCGGGCCUCUUGCUAUUCGAUGAGCCCAGAUGGUAUUAGCUAGUAGGUGGGGUAACGGCUCACCGACGCGACGAUCCCCAGCUGGUGUGAGUGGAUGACCAGGCACACUGGAACUGAAACACGGUCCAGACUACAACGGGAGGGAGCGGAGGAGUAUAGUGCACAAGGGGCGCAAGCCGGAUGCAACCCAGCCGCGUGUAUGGAAAAGGCCUUCGGGUUGUGAAGUUCUUCCAGCGGUGAGGAAGAGAGUAAAGUUAAUACCUUGACUCAUUGACGUUACCCGAAGAAGAAGCACCGGCUAACUCCGUG